UACGUAGGGGGCAAGCGUUGUCCGGAUUUAUUGGGCGUAAAGAGCGUGUAGGCUGCCAGGUCGGUCUGCUGUGAAAACUCGAGGCUUAACCUCGAGCUGUCGGCGGAAACCAUCUGGCUAGAGUCCGGAAGAGGAGAAUGGAAUUCCCGGUGUAGCGGUGAAAUGCGCAGAUAUCGGGAAGAACACCCGUGGCGAAGGCGGUUCUCUGGGACGGUACUGACGCUGAGACGCGAAAGCGUGGGGAGCGAACAGG
RNAcentral lists this ribosomal RNA (253 nucleotides) under uncultured bacterium. RNAcentral's name for it is "partial 16S ribosomal RNA". It matches the Rfam family "Bacterial small subunit ribosomal RNA", at positions 524 to 776 of the family's 1533-position model. The record is from RNAcentral.